GAUGAAGAACGCAGCGAAAUGCAUACGUAAUGUGAAUUGCAGAAUUCAGUGAAUCAUCGAGUCUUUGAACGCACAUUGCGCCCCCUGGUAUUCCGGGGGGCAUGCCUGUCCGAGCGUCAUUGCUGCCCUCAAGCACGGCUUGUGUGUUGGGCCUCCGUCCUCCUCCCGGGGGACGGGCCCGAAAGGCAGCGGCGGCACCGCGUCCGGUCCUCGAGCGUAUGGGGCUUCGUCACCCGCUCUUGUAGGCCCGGCCGGCGCUUGCCGACACAUCAAUCUUUUUUCCAGGUUGACCUCGGAUCAGGUAGGGAUACCCGCUGAACUUAAGCAUAUCAAUAAGCGGAGGA
Molecule: unclassified non-coding RNA, 344 nt
Filed under: soil metagenome
Description: partial contains 5.8S ribosomal RNA, internal transcribed spacer 2, and large subunit ribosomal RNA
Rfam family: 5.8S ribosomal RNA (bases 1-119)
Source: RNAcentral